AUUCCCUGGCAAUUGGCAAAGGGACACCAUGUUGGUAGUGUAGUUCUCAUAUCAUUCAGGGGCAGAGCAAAUGGCAGUCCUUUGUUCAUCUAGCUUGAUACCUGGCUUAGUGGCCAAAGGUGUCUUAUGCCUAGGUCUUAUAA
Psammomys obesus (fat sand rat) is the source of this 143-nucleotide small nucleolar RNA. RefSeq annotates it as small nucleolar RNA SNORA48. The transcript has a single exon. NCBI's taxonomy places the organism in Eukaryota, Metazoa, Chordata, Mammalia, Rodentia, Muridae. The record is from RefSeq and is a predicted model, not a curated record.